RNAcentral lists this ribosomal RNA (1530 nucleotides) under Escherichia coli. RNAcentral describes it as "bacterial SSU rRNA". It matches the Rfam family "Bacterial small subunit ribosomal RNA". Lineage: Bacteria; Pseudomonadati; Pseudomonadota; Gammaproteobacteria; Enterobacterales; Enterobacteriaceae. The record is from RNAcentral. RNAcentral also lists the same sequence under 26 other names.
AGAGUUUGAUCAUGGCUCAGAUUGAACGCUGGCGGCAGGCCUAACACAUGCAAGUCGAACGGUAACAGGAAGCAGCUUGCUGCUUUGCUGACGAGUGGCGGACGGGUGAGUAAUGUCUGGGAAACUGCCCGAUGGAGGGGGAUAACUACUGGAAACGGUAGCUAAUACCGCAUAACGUCGCAAGACCAAAGAGGGGGACCUUAGGGCCUCUUGCCAUCGGAUGUGCCCAGAUGGGAUUAGCUAGUAGGUGGGGUAACGGCUCACCUAGGCGACGAUCCCUAGCUGGUCUGAGAGGAUGACCAGCCACACUGGAACUGAGACACGGUCCAGACUCCUACGGGAGGCAGCAGUGGGGAAUAUUGCACAAUGGGCGCAAGCCUGAUGCAGCCAUGCCGCGUGUAUGAAGAAGGCCUUCGGGUUGUAAAGUACUUUCAGCGGGGAGGAAGGGAGUAAAGUUAAUACCUUUGCUCAUUGACGUUACCCGCAGAAGAAGCACCGGCUAACUCCGUGCCAGCAGCCGCGGUAAUACGGAGGGUGCAAGCGUUAAUCGGAAUUACUGGGCGUAAAGCGCACGCAGGCGGUUUGUUAAGUCAGAUGUGAAAUCCCCGGGCUCAACCUGGGAACUGCAUCUGAUACUGGCAAGCUUGAGUCUCGUAGAGGGGGGUAGAAUUCCAGGUGUAGCGGUGAAAUGCGUAGAGAUCUGGAGGAAUACCGGUGGCGAAGGCGGCCCCCUGGACGAAGACUGACGCUCAGGUGCGAAAGCGUGGGGAGCAAACAGGAUUAGAUACCCUGGUAGUCCACGCCGUAAACGAUGUCGACUUGGAGGUUGUGCCCUUGAGGCGUGGCUUCCGGAGCUAACGCGUUAAGUCGACCGCCUGGGGAGUACGGCCGCAAGGUUAAAACUCAAAUGAAUUGACGGGGGCCCGCACAAGCGGUGGAGCAUGUGGUUUAAUUCGAUGCAACGCGAAGAACCUUACCUGGUCUUGACAUCCACGGAAGUUUUCAGAGAUGAGAAUGUGCCUUCGGGAACCGUGAGACAGGUGCUGCAUGGCUGUCGUCAGCUCGUGUUGUGAAAUGUUGGGUUAAGUCCCGCAACGAGCGCAACCCUUAUCCUUUGUUGCCAGCGGUCCGGCCGGGAACUCAAAGGAGACUGCCAGUGAUAAACUGGAGGAAGGUGGGGAUGACGUCAAGUCAUCAUGGCCCUUACGACCAGGGCUACACACGUGCUACAAUGGCGCAUACAAAGAGAAGCGACCUCGCGAGAGCAAGCGGACCUCAUAAAGUGCGUCGUAGUCCGGAUUGGAGUCUGCAACUCGACUCCAUGAAGUCGGAAUCGCUAGUAAUCGUGGAUCAGAAUGCCACGGUGAAUACGUUCCCGGGCCUUGUACACACCGCCCGUCACACCAUGGGAGUGGGUUGCAAAAGAAGUAGGUAGCUUAACCUUCGGGAGGGCGCUUACCACUUUGUGAUUCAUGACUGGGGUGAAGUCGUAACAAGGUAACCGUAGGGGAACCUGCGGUUGGAUCACCU